AGACAAACUAGUUAAUCGUCGCCUGCUGAAUUUUAACUACUCUCGCUGGGUAAUCCGAUCCUAGGAAGAAAGUCCGUUGAAUAAAUUUUGUCUGUCCUCACAAGACUCUUGUCAGUUUUCUCUUCUCAUUUGGUGCUGGCGUUUUGAUCAGAAACCUAGAAAUAUUUUCACUGAUAGUUUUCGCUAUUUUUCUGGACUUCAGUGUUUCUGGGAAUCGUUUUCUUUUUUCUUCUGUACCGCAAGAGUUUUGUGGAGAUUUCCGAACUUGUCUCUUUGAGUUGGAAAAGUAAUAGUGACUACUUCCGGUUCAGAUUCAGACUUGGAGAUGCUUACGAACUUCCUGUUCUGUACUUCUGAUCACAUGGUCAGGGGACAUUUUCCAAAAUACAGAAGUCGACUUUGACGUAGAAAGGAGUUCUCAAGAGCUCUUACCAUGUGACCAAAACCUGUUCGUAAGAGAUACAAAAAAAAUUUGUUUUCAAACAUACCGGAUGACUAAUGACGAUAUUUUAUAUAUAUUCUAUAUUCUAUUAUGAAAGUAAAUGGUAAAAUAAUGUUGCCUUUCAGAGAAAAUAUCCAGCCUAAAGGCAAAGUAACAAAUUACAAAUAACAAAAUAGAUUUUGCCUAUAAUGUUACAUUAUAAUGGGAAGUGUAGUAAAAAGAAGUAAUGAAUCAUUAAAAAUAAGAUUAUAAUAAAAUAAAAAUAUAAACUAAAUAAGAUUAUAACAUUUUCGUUGACUACAACAGGAAACAAGAUUAUGAAUGCUAACUGUGAUUCCGCGACGUCACGCCUUGGAUUAAGGAUAUAAUGGUUACCUGAGGAUUUAUAUGGUCACUCUAGGAUAAAGGAACUACCCAAAGAUCCCAGCAAUGGAAUGUGUCCACUCGAAGACUGCACACACACACUAAGAGGCUACAUUGAGAAUAUCUUUGGAGUGAGAGUAUAUGCCAGUUCAUCACAUUUGGACGAAAUAGGAAAACAAAGAAACAAAAAUUAAUUAGCGAUUUGAAAUGGAUUGAGACAGCUAUCAUUAGAACAUCAUGUAGUUGAAGCCAGUGGUCUAAAGGGACAGAAUACAUUCAUGGCCAUACAACAAACAACAAAACAGGACGUCAUCUUCAUAGCAAUCAGACAGUAUAUGACGUAUCAGACCUUGAGCUCCCGGCCUACACACCACAGCAAGACAUACUGAAACAGCUGAGAUAUAUUUUACGAAUUAUGCAAUAGAUACGGUCAGGUUAAAGACGUCGCAGAGAAUGAAAGACAACAAUUCUUUGAUUGAGCCUAUAUUUCACACAAGACAACCCUCUUUGAUUGAGCCCCUGUUUCACACAAGACAACCCUCUUUGAUUGAGCCUCUGUUCCAAUAAGACAACUUCCUGGUGAUGCCUUCGUUUUACACAAUACUCAUUCCGGAUGAAGCCUCAGUUUCACACAAGAACACUUCCUGAUGAAGUGUCUAUUUCACACAACUUCCGAGUGAAGCCUCAGUUUCACACAAGACAACACUUCCUGAUGAAGUGUCUAUUUCACACAACUUCCGAGUGAAGCCUCUGUUUCACACAAGACAACACUUCCUGAUGAAGUGUCUAU
Biomphalaria glabrata is the source of this 1595-nucleotide long non-coding RNA. RefSeq lists it as uncharacterized. The record is from RefSeq and is a predicted model, not a curated record. The transcript has 4 exons. Lineage: Eukaryota; Metazoa; Mollusca; Gastropoda; Planorbidae.